CCAAUAGCGUAUAUUAAAGUUGUUGCAGUUAAAAAGCUCGUAGUUGAAUUUCGGGGUCAGUAGGUUGGUCAUGCCACUGGUAUGUACUGGUCUCACUGAUUCCUCCUUCCUGAUGAACUGUAAUGCCAUUAAUUUGGUGUUGCAGGGAAUCUGGACUGUUACUUUGAAAAAAUUAGAGUGUUUAAAGCAGGCUAACGCCUGAAUACAUUAGCAUGGAAUAAUGAAAUAGGACGUUCGAUCCUAUUUUGUUGGUUUCUAGGAUUGACGUAAUGAUUAAUAGGGAUAGUUGGGGGCAUUAGUAUUCAAUUGUCAGAGGUGAAAUUCUUGGAUUUAUUGAAGACUAACUACUGCGAAAGCAUUUGCCAAGGAUGUUUUCAUUAAUCAAGAACGAAAGUUAGGGGAUCGAAGACGAUCAGAUACCGUCGUAGUCUUAACCAUAAACUAUGCCGACUAGGGAUCGGAUGAUGUUAAUUUUUUAAUGACUCAUUCGGCGCCUUACGG
This 501-nucleotide ribosomal RNA is filed under the name uncultured Glomeromycotina. RNAcentral describes it as "partial small subunit ribosomal RNA". It matches the Rfam family "Eukaryotic small subunit ribosomal RNA", at positions 591 to 1093 of the family's 1831-position model. The record is from RNAcentral. Lineage: Eukaryota; Fungi; Glomeromycota.